GACGAACGCUGGCGGCGUGCUUAACACAUGCAAGUCGAACGGUGAAGCGAGUGCUUGCACUCGUGGAUCAGUGGCGAACGGGUGAGUAACACGUGAGUAACCUGCCCAUCACUCUGGGAUAAGCACUGGAAACGGUGUCUAAUACUGGAUACGACCAACCCUUGCAUGGGGUGUUGGUGGCAAGAUUGAUCGGUGAUGGAUGGACUCGCGGCCUAUCAGCUUGUUGGCGGGGUAAUGGCCAACCAAGGCGACGACGGGUAGCCGACCUGAGAGGGUGACCGGCCACACUGGGACUGAGACACGGCCCAGACUCCUACGGGAGGCAGCAGUGGGGAAUAUUGCACAAUGGGCGAAAGCCUGAUGCAGCGACGCCGCGUGAGGGAUGACGGCCUUCGGGUUGUAAACCUCUUUCAGCAGGGAAGAAGCGAAAGUGACGGUACCUGCAGAAGAAGCACCGGCUAACUACGUG
RNAcentral lists this ribosomal RNA (469 nucleotides) under uncultured bacterium. RNAcentral's name for it is "partial 16S ribosomal RNA". It matches the Rfam family "Bacterial small subunit ribosomal RNA", at positions 28 to 507 of the family's 1533-position model. The record is from RNAcentral.